UACGAAGGGGGCUAGCGUUGCUCGGAAUCACUGGGCGUAAAGCGCACGUAGGCGGAUUGUUAAGUCAGGGGUGAAAUCCCGGAGCUCAACUCCGGAACUGCCUUUGAUACUGGCGACCUUGAGGCUGGAAGAGGUUAGUGGAAUUCCCAGUGUAGAGGUGAAAUUCGUAGAUAUUGGGAAGAACACCAGUGGCGAAGGCGGCUAACUGGUCCAGAUCUGACGCUGAGGUGCGAAAGCGUGGGGAGCAAACAGG
This 253-nucleotide ribosomal RNA is filed under the name uncultured bacterium. RNAcentral describes it as "partial 16S ribosomal RNA". It matches the Rfam family "Bacterial small subunit ribosomal RNA", at positions 524 to 776 of the family's 1533-position model. The record is from RNAcentral.